Molecule: long non-coding RNA, 1422 nt
Organism: Astatotilapia calliptera (eastern happy)
Lineage: Eukaryota; Metazoa; Chordata; Actinopteri; Cichliformes; Cichlidae
Source: Ensembl
GUUUACUUUACCAUGACCUCUAAUCAUUAAACUAAAAGAACGUGAUAGCAGUUAGCCUAGCAGCAAUGAAAAUAUAUUUUCCACAUUAUAUUUUCUACUUUAGCUGAUAAUUUAUGUGUGAUAAAUAUGAAAAUAUAGCAAGCAGCCACAGCAUAGCCUAGCAUAGCAUUAAGACCAGAAAAAGGGACAAGUAGUAGCCUGGCAUUUAUUUCAAUUAUCCUAAAACUUUAGGCUAAGCUAACCAGCUGCUACCUGAUUAUAUAAACUUAGCACAAAACGUAAAAACAUUUCUGUUUGAUUAUUGUUUCUUUAUUGUAACAAUGCUUCUUGACAAUAAAUCUCAUACCAGCGGAAAGUCUGCUUAUUUCCCCUUAUAUGGUACCACAUUUAUAAGGACAAUGCUUUUGUGGGUUGAGCAGCAGAGUGAGUAUGUGGCUUGCGCCCAUGUAACAUUUGCCAAAUCUUCUCUGCCAAUACCAAACAGUUUAUUCUGCUAUUGACUUUUGCUUGGUGUUGUAUGUUGGAUUGGAUGAUUGAAGUCUGAAGAAAAAAGACAUAUUAACAAUUUAGUAGCAUGUGGAUGAACCGAACACAGGAAACUCAACUCUGCUGCUCAACCCAUAAAUGUACAAAUGUAGUGUCAUUAAAAGGGAAAUAAAAAAGGACUUCUAAGUGUUUAAGAUUUUUUGCAUUGUUACAACAAAGAAAUAAUCAACCAAACACAAAUUUCCUUACAUUUUGUGCUGAGUUUAUGUAUAUGUAUGUAUGUACGGAGCCGUGCUGAUCUUUUUAUGGAGCUCUCAGCAUGUGAGUAGAAAAGCAAAUUUCAGUAAAUGUUGAACUAUUUCUUGAAAUCAUUCUCUCAAGGCCUCCUGGAGGGUCAAGCUGAGGAGAAUGUGUUGAUUUUUUUGUUAAAUUUAGAUGGCAGGUUGAGCAUUUGAGAAUUUACUGUAGAAAAUCUCAUAUGUCACGGCAAAUGACUGUAGAAAAAAACAAAACAAAACAAAACAAAAGAGCAGCAAAUUUAUUUAUUGACCUAUUUAUUUUCAUUUGUAACUAGGAGAACAUCAGGCAUUUGGUAAUUAAAAGCUGCAUUUUCAAGUACUUGUGCAAAACUAAGCUUGUUUGAAAAACACUGCACACCUCACUCUUAUGAUACUACCCUGUCAAGAUCCCUUUGCUACGGUCUAUGUCGUUAACGAGAGGGGAAAAAACCCCUUUUCUUAACACAAGUUUCUAAUUUCUAUGUAAUCUUUGUCUAAUUUUUAAUAUAACUGUGUGGCGUUCGAAAUGACAAGCAAGUUUUGUUUGUUUUGGAAGUCAGCAUGUUCUCUACGGUUUGUCGUAAUCUUCAUGUAGAAUGUGUUAAUUCAUCAUGCAGUAACACAGUCGGAGCCUUCACAGAGGUAUCGUCAGAUAUCC